AAAAAAAAAAAAAAAAAAAAUCGAUUUAUUGAGCAAUUUCUGGCGAUUGUUGUUGUAUCAUUAUUGUUAUAUACUCGUUACCUAAAUCAACUGAUUGUCUUGUUUCUUAGAUGGUACAGAAGUUUAUAGUUGGUCAUUGUGGGGUUGUUUUCACAUUGUAUAAGUUCCGCCUGGGCUAAUAUUUUGUGCUGCUGAUUUUCAGAUUCUAAUUUUGAGCGUCUAUAGUCAAGCUGUCUUUAUUUACACUCUCUAAUGGCGGUAUGUUAGCUACUGAUUGUUUUCUCAGCUCCUGUCCUCCACCCCUUCUUUCUUUUUGGGAACCUUUGCUUUCUUUUUCAUGGUGCAAGACGUAGGUUUACGUAUUAUUGUUUUUUAAUUUUAAUUCACAGGUUGAUAAAAUUCUUAAAGAUGAAGCUAGCGAAGAAAAGGGAGAGCGUGCUAGAAUGGUGAGUUUUGUCCUGAUUUGCAUGGUAACCAUG
RNAcentral lists this unclassified non-coding RNA (479 nucleotides) under Hevea brasiliensis (rubber tree). The record is from RNAcentral. Lineage: Eukaryota; Viridiplantae; Streptophyta; Magnoliopsida; Malpighiales; Euphorbiaceae.